AUGACUAGGGAUAACCUUAGGAAGAGACACAUCAUCAAACCCCUUGAUUGUGUUUACUGCUUGGAACAAGAGUCUUGUUCUCACCUAUUUUUUGAAUGUAUAGUUGCUAAACAUCUCUGGGCCCACAUUGAGGAAUAUUUCUCUAGUCAGAUUGGCUCAUCCUUCGAAUCUUUCGCCAGAUUCUGGAUUGCUACCAAAAAGUGCUCAGUUUUAAACACUAUUAGCUCAGCUGUCCUUUGGUGCCUCUGGAAAUAUAGAAAUGCUAUGAUUUUUAGUAACACCUCCUGGAUUUCCAUUCCGCAGGUCUUGAGGUUGAUCGGGAACAUGGUGAGGAACUGGGCGAUUCUCUCCUCCGGAUCGGACAAGGACAAGUUGAUGAGCUUCGUGGAAACCCUAACAAGAUCCCUCCAGAAACCGUUGGCGAUCACUUGUGGCUGA
Molecule: ribosomal RNA, 438 nt
Filed under: Triticum aestivum (bread wheat)
Lineage: Eukaryota; Viridiplantae; Streptophyta; Magnoliopsida; Poales; Poaceae
Description: partial small subunit ribosomal RNA
Source: RNAcentral